CUUAUAUUGUCCUUAGCCCAUUCGCACGCCAAAUUCCUUGUAAGUUGGUUCAUUGCACCUGCAGUAUACAUGUCAUGACAGGUCCUAAGAGAACAAGCUUUUGCAAUAGAAACAGAAGGAAAAUUAAAAUGAGAAAACAGGUCUAGAGAAGUAGUUAAGUACCUUUAGAAGCUGAAUACAAAGGAUACUGAGGGUUCAUAGAUACCACACUAAUAAUGGAAGACAUGAAGACAAUCUUUCCAGCCCCUGAAGCUUUCAAAAGGGGAUGUGCAAGUUGGGACAAAUGGAAAGCAGAUUGAAGGUUUGUGUUCAUGAGAGAUGUGAAAUCCUCAGCUGU
Molecule: long non-coding RNA, 337 nt
Organism: Populus trichocarpa (black cottonwood)
Lineage: Eukaryota; Viridiplantae; Streptophyta; Magnoliopsida; Malpighiales; Salicaceae
Exons: 2
Source: RefSeq, a predicted model, not a curated record